UCUUGCUGGACAAUGAGAAUGGCGUUUCUCGUGACUCUAUACUUUUCGCGUUAUCUGUCUGGGACUUGCGAGCAAGUGAUCUCUCCUGGAUAUCACUGGCCACUGACAGUGGAAGUUUGAUGGCUUAUUCCUGCAGCUGUGUAGCUGGUAAAGGCUUCUGCAACCAUGUAGUAGCCCUCCUUUACCAGACUGCACACUAUUUGCAGCUCAGUUUGCCGACUGUUCCACCACCCCUGGCCUGCACAAGUGAUUUACAACGCUGGCAUAGACCGAGAACACAGGGAAUCCUGAACCUGUGAAUGAUGUGAUGGUGCAAAAACCAACGACGGUGGGCAAGAGUGGUCUUAGCUCCACAUUGUACCAGGCAUAUUCAGGACCAUUUCCUGACCCUGACAUGAUGGCAUCUGGAGCCAAGCUACGCCAGGAGCAACCCCAGCCUCUCAUUGCUCUCGUAUUAGAUGGCAUGUCUGAGAUAGAGCUGACUCCAUCUAAAUUUGGGCCUGUCCCACAAGGAUCCCUGCUGUCAUAUCAUUGCCCACCUGAAAAGUCCAGUGACCUUAUCCUGCACCACUUGGCUCCUGAAUUCCCGGGUCUUCCUUUUAUGCAGCAUACUUUUUCCAAGUUGCACUUUGUUCCAACGUUGCAUCAGCUCAUGCACCUCCAGUCACUCCAAGUGUCACCACAAAUGGCCAGUGAA
Epinephelus fuscoguttatus (brown-marbled grouper) is the source of this 697-nucleotide long non-coding RNA. RefSeq lists it as uncharacterized. The transcript is spliced from 4 exons. The record is from RefSeq and is a predicted model, not a curated record. Lineage: Eukaryota; Metazoa; Chordata; Actinopteri; Perciformes; Serranidae.